GACGAACGCUGGCGGCGUGCUUAACACAUGCAAGUCGAACGGAAAGGCCCUGCUUUUGUGGGGUGCUCGAGUGGCGAACGGGUGAGUAACACGUGAGUAACCUGCCCUUGACUUUGGGAUAACUUCAGGAAACUGGGGCUAAUACCGGAUAGGAGCUCCUGCUGCAUGGUGGGGGUUGGAAAGUUUCGGCGGUUGGGGAUGGACUCGCGGCUUAUCAGCUUGUUGGUGGGGUAGUGGCUUACCAAGGCUUUGACGGGUAGCCGGCCUGAGAGGGUGACCGGCCACAUUGGGACUGAGAUACGGCCCAGACUCCUACGGGAGGCAGCAGUGGGGAAUAUUGCACAAUGGGCGGAAGCCUGAUGCAGCAACGCCGCGUGCGGGAUGACGGCCUUCGGGUUGUAAACCGCUUUCGCCUGUGACGAAGCGUGAGUGACGGUAAUGGGUAAAGAAGCACCAGCUAACUACGUG
RNAcentral lists this ribosomal RNA (468 nucleotides) under uncultured bacterium. RNAcentral describes it as "partial 16S ribosomal RNA". It matches the Rfam family "Bacterial small subunit ribosomal RNA", at positions 28 to 507 of the family's 1533-position model. The record is from RNAcentral.